RNAcentral lists this small RNA (898 nucleotides) under Pan troglodytes (chimpanzee). RNAcentral describes it as "processed transcript". The record is from RNAcentral. Lineage: Eukaryota; Metazoa; Chordata; Mammalia; Primates; Hominidae.
AGAGCGGGUACCGCUGCUGGCUAGCGACAGACGAGCAACCGUCUGAGGCCAGGAGCGCUGCGGCGGAGCCUUGACCGCCGUUGCCCGGCCUUCUCCCGCGCAGCCCCGGGCUUCCGCAGGUUAUGGCCAUUGCACCAACCCAUUAUAUCUGGCAAAGAGAACGUUCUGUUCAUCACAGUGGAGCUGUCAGAAACUACAACAGAGAUGAAGUUCAGCUGCCCCGGGGACCUAGUGCCACACCAGUAGAUUGUUCACUCUGUGGUAAAAAAAGAAGAUAUGUUAGACUGGGAUUGUCUUCAUCAUCAUCUUUAUCCAGUCAUACAGCAGGGGUGACAGAAAAACAUUCUCAGGACUCAUACAACUCACUGUCAAUGGACAUAAUAGGUGAUCCUUCUCAAGCUUAUACCGGUUCUGAAGUAGUCAAUGACCAUCAAUCAAAUAAAGGAAAGAAAACUAAUUUCUUGAAGAAAGACAAAUCUAUGGAGUGGUUUACAGGAAGUGAAGAAUGAGAUGGCCCAACUAAACCAAUUUGGAAUCAUUAACUACAAAAUGUCAAACUAACUGCAAGACAAGUGUCAAAAUGGGAUGUUUAAGCAGUUUUGCUAUGUUAUACAUCUUUUAGUUGUUAUUUUCAAAAUUAUAUGUAUAAGUUAUAUAAGUCAUAGUAAUAGCUAAAAAUGCCAAUCUAUGGAAGUAGUAAUUUUCAAUAUAAAGUUCUAUUUUGAUAUUUUUCCAUCUUCAAGUCAGUUACUGUCAUCUGGAGUACUCAGUUAAGUUGUGGUUUGACCUUCCUCAACUUGACAAGAAAAGCUAAUUUAAGAGAAGAAAAACAUAAAGUCAUUAUAUUAAUUAAAAGAAAAAACACCAUUUAAUAUGUUCUGAAAACAUUACUCACCUG